RNAcentral lists this ribosomal RNA (468 nucleotides) under uncultured bacterium. RNAcentral describes it as "partial 16S ribosomal RNA". It matches the Rfam family "Bacterial small subunit ribosomal RNA", at positions 28 to 507 of the family's 1533-position model. The record is from RNAcentral.
GACGAACGCUGGCGGCGUGCUUAACACAUGCAAGUCGAACGGAAAGGCCCUGCUUUUGUGGGGUGCUCGAGUGGCGAACGGGUGAGUAACACGUGAGUAACCUGCCCUUGACUUUGGGAUAACUUCAGGAAACUGGGGCUAAUACCGGAUAGGAGCUCCUGCUGCAUGGUGGGGGUUGGAAAGUUUCGGCGGUUGGGGAUGGACUCGCGGCUUAUCAGCUUGUUGGUGGGGUAGUGGCUUACCAAGGCUUUGACGGGUAGCCGGCCUGAGAGGGUGACCGGCCACAUUGGCCUGUAGACCCGCCCCUACCUCCUGCGGGCGCGACAAGGGGGAAAGUUACCACAAGGGGCGGAGCCCGAACGACGGAAGCCCCGGUGCGGAAUGCCGCCUUUCGGGUUGAAACCCCCUUUCUCGUGGAAGCAACGGUGAGGGAGGGAAGGGGGUAAGGAACACCGGUCUAACCACUAG